GAUGAACACUGGCGGCGUGCUUAACACAUGCAUAGUCGAACGAUGAAGCCCACCUUGCUGGGUGGAUUAGUGGCCAACGGGUGAGUAACACGUGAGUAACCUGCCCUUAACUCUGGCAUAAGCCUGGGUAAACUGGGUCUAAUACCGGAUAGGAGCGUCCGCCGCAUGGUGGGUGUUGGAAAGAUUUAUCGGUUUUGGAUGGACUCGCCGUCUAUCAGAUUGUAGGUGAGGUAAUGGCUCUCCAAGGCGACGACGGGUAGCCGGCCUGAGAGGGCGACCGGCCACACUGUGACUGAGACACCGCCCAAACUCCUACCGCAAGCUGCAGUGGGCAAUAUUGCACUAUGGACGCAAGCCUGAUGCAGCAACCCCGCGUCGUGGGAUGACGGACUUCGAGUCGUGAACCUCUUUCGGUAUGGACGAAGCGAAAGUGUCGGUGCCUGGAUAAGAAGCACCGGCUAACUACGUGCCAUCUAGCCGCAGUAAUACCUAGGGUGCGAGCGUUCUCCGGAAUUAUUGAGCGUGCAGAGCUCGUAGGCGGUUUUCGCGUCUGUCGUGAAAGUCCGGGGCUUAACCCCGGAUCUGCGGUGGGUACGGGCAGACUAGAGUGCAGUAGGGGAGACUGGAAUUCCUGGUGUAGCGGUGGAAUGCGCAGAUAUCAGGAGGAACACCGAUGGCGAAGGCAGGUCUCUGGGCUGUAACUGACGCUGAGGAGCGAAAGCAUGGGGAGCGAACAGGAUUAGAUACCCUGGUAGUCCAUGCCGUAAACGUUGGGCACUAGGUGUGGGGACCAUUCCACGGUUUCCGCGCCGCAGCUAACGCAUUAAGUGCCCCGCCUGGGGAGUACGGCCGCAAGGCUAAAACUCAAAGGAAUUGACGGGGGCCCGCACAAGCGGCGGAGCAUGCGGAUUAAUUCGAUGCAACGCGAAGAACCUUACCAAGGCUUGACAUGUUCUCGAUCGCCGUAGAGAUACGGUUUCCCCUUUGGGGCGGGUUCACAGGUGGUGCAUGGUUGUCGUCAGCUCGUGUCGUGAGAUGUUGGGUUAAGUCCCGCAACGAGCGCAACCCUCGUUCCAUGUUGCCAGCACGUCGUGGUGGGGACUCAUGGGAGACUGCCGGGGUCAACUCGGAGGAAGGUGAGGACGACGUCAAAUCAUCAUGCCCCUUAUGUCUUGGGCUUCACGCAUGCUACAAUGGCCGGUACAAUGGGUUGCGAUACUGUGAGGUGGAGCUAAUCCCAAAAGCCGGUCUCAGUUUGGAUUGGGGUCUGCAACUCGACCCCAUGAAGUCGGAGUCGCUAGUAAUCGCAGAUCAGCAACGCUGCGGUGAAUACGAUGCCCGGGCCU
This 1346-nucleotide ribosomal RNA is filed under the name uncultured bacterium. Its description in RNAcentral is "bacterial SSU rRNA". It matches the Rfam family "Bacterial small subunit ribosomal RNA", at positions 28 to 1381 of the family's 1533-position model. The record is from RNAcentral.